AAGAUUCUUCGGAUGUGCGCUCCGGCUGCACUCCGAAUCCCACCUCACACACCGUGCGCCUCGGGUGGGUUGACGCCCGCCCGCCUUUACACAUCACACUAGCGAACCCGAAUGUCUAAUACCAUAACUUAAUA
Molecule: unclassified non-coding RNA, 134 nt
Filed under: uncultured Basidiomycota
Lineage: Eukaryota; Fungi; Basidiomycota
Description: sequence contains ITS1
Source: RNAcentral